CCUACGGGAGGCAGCAGUGGGGAAUAUUGCGCAAUGGGCGAAAGCCUGACGCAGCGACGCCGCGUGAGGGAUGAAGGUCUUCGGAUCGUAAACCUCUGUCAGCAGGGAAGAACGGUCACUGUGCUAAUCAGCAGUGAAUUGACGGUACCUGCAAAGGAAGCACCGGCUAACUCCGUGCCAGCAGCCGCGGUAAUACGGAGGGUGCGAGCGUUAAUCGGAAUUACUGGGCGUAAAGCGCUCGUAGGCGGUAUGUCAAGUCAAGGGUGAAAUCCCCGCGCUCAACGUGGGAACUGCCUUUGAAACUGGCAAACUGGAGUGAGUGAGAGGUUAGUGGAAUUCCAGGUGUAGGAGUGAAAUGCGUAGAUAUCUGGAGGAACAUCAGUGGCGAAGGCGACUAUCUGGCACAUAACUGACGCUGAGGAGCGAAAGCGUGGGUAGCAAACAGGAUUAGAUACCCUAGUAGUC
Molecule: ribosomal RNA, 465 nt
Filed under: uncultured bacterium
Lineage: Bacteria
Description: partial 16S ribosomal RNA
Rfam family: Bacterial small subunit ribosomal RNA
Source: RNAcentral